RNAcentral lists this ribosomal RNA (508 nucleotides) under uncultured bacterium. RNAcentral's name for it is "bacterial SSU rRNA". It matches the Rfam family "Bacterial small subunit ribosomal RNA", at positions 791 to 1301 of the family's 1533-position model. The record is from RNAcentral.
UAGUCCACGCCCUAAACGAUGCUAACUCGACAUGUGCGAUAUACAGUGCGUGUCUUAGGGAAACCGUUAAGUUAGCCACCUGGGGAGUACGUUCGCAAGAAUGAAACUCAAAGGAAUUGACGGGGAUCCGCACAAGCGGUGGAGCAUGUGGUUUAAUUCGAUGAUACGCGAGGAACCUUACCUGGGCUAGAAUGCGAGUGACCGGCUGGGAAACCAGUCUUUCUCUUCGGAGACACAAAGCAAGGUGCUGCAUGGUUGUCGUCAGCUCGUGCCGUGAGGUGUUGGGUUGAGUCCCGCAACGAGCGCGACCCCUAUCCUUAGUUGCCAACAGAUAAUGCUGGGGACUCUAGGGAAACUGCCUGCGCAAGCAGCGAGGAAGGCGGGGACGACGUCAAAUCAUCAUGGCCUUUAUGCCCAGGGCUACACACGUGCUACAAUGGACGGCACAAAGGGCCGCGACCUAGCGAUAGGAAGCCAAUCCCAAAAAGCCGUUCUCAGUUCGGAGUUG